This 305-nucleotide ribosomal RNA is filed under the name uncultured bacterium. RNAcentral's name for it is "bacterial SSU rRNA". It matches the Rfam family "Bacterial small subunit ribosomal RNA", at positions 336 to 659 of the family's 1533-position model. The record is from RNAcentral.
CUCCUACGGGGGGCAGCAGUGGGGAAUAUUGGGCAAUGGGGGAAACCCUGACCCAGCGACGCCGCGUGAGGGAAGAAGGUUUUCGGAUUGUAAACCUCUUUCCUUGGUGACGAUAAUGACGGUAGCCAAGGAGGAAGCCACGGCUAACUACGUGCCAGCAGCCGCGGUAAUACGUAGGUGGCGAGCGUUGUCCGGAAUUACUGGGUUUAAAGGGUGCGUAGGCGGACUGGAAAGUCAGCGGUAAAAUCGAGAGGCUCAACCUCUUUCCGCCGUUGAAACUGUCGGUCUUGAGUGGGCGAGAAGUA